GAAAAGAAACCAACAGGGAUUGCCCUAGUAACGGCGAGUGAAGCGGCAACAGCUCAAAUUUGAAAUCUGGCUUCGGCCCGAGUUGUAAUUUGCAGAGGAUGUUUCUGGCGCGGUGCCUUCCGAGUUCCCUGGAACGGGACGCCACAGAGGGUGAGAGCCCCGUAUGGUUGGACACCAAGCCUGUGUGAAACUCCUUCGACGAGUCGAGUAGUUUGGGAAUGCUGCUCAAAAUGGGAGGUAAAUCUCUUCUAAAGCUAAAUACCGGCCAGAGACCGAUAGCGCACAAGUAGAGUGAUCGAAAGAUGAAAAGCACCUUGAAAAGGGGGUUAAACAGUACGUGAAAUUGUUGAAAGGGAAGCGCUUGUGACCAGACUUGCGCCGGGCGGUUCAUCCGGGGUUCUCCCCGGUGCACUCCGCCCGGUUCAGGCCAGCAUCGGUUCUCGUUGGGGGAUAAGAACGAUAGGAACGUGGCCCUCCUUCGGGUGGGUGUUAUAGCCUGUCGUACGAUACCCUGACGGGGACCGAGGUUCGCGCUCCGCAAGGAUGCUGGCGUAAUGGUCAUCAGCGACCCGUCUUGAAACACGGACCAAGGAGUGUCCCAUUAGAGCGAGCGUUUGGGUGUAAAACCCGCACGCGUAAUGAAAGUGAAAUUAGGUGAGAGCUUCGGCGCAUCAUCGACCGAUCCUGAUGUUCUCGGAUGGAUUUGAGUAAGAGUUUUAACGGACGGACCCGAAAGACAGUGAACUAUGCUUGUAUAGGGUGAAGCCAGAGGAAACUCUGGUGGAGGCUCGCAGCGGUUCUGACGUGCAAAUCGAUCGUCAAAUAUGAGCAUGGGGGCGAAAGACUAAUCGAACUGUUGA
RNAcentral lists this ribosomal RNA (860 nucleotides) under Aurantioporthe corni. RNAcentral's name for it is "partial large subunit ribosomal RNA". It matches the Rfam family "Eukaryotic large subunit ribosomal RNA", at positions 56 to 946 of the family's 3401-position model. Lineage: Eukaryota; Fungi; Ascomycota; Sordariomycetes; Diaporthales; Cryphonectriaceae. The record is from RNAcentral.